GGAUUGAACGCUGGCGGCAGGCCUAACACAUGCAAGUCGAGCGGUAGAGAGGUGCUUGCACCUCUUGAGAGCGGCGGACGGGUGAGUAAUGCCUAGGAAUCUGCCUAGUGGUGGGGGAUAACGUUCGGAAACGGACGCUAAUACCGCAUACGUCCUACGGGAGAAAGCGGGGGACCUUCGGGCCUCGCGCCAUUAGAUGAGCCUAGGUCGGAUUAGCUAGUUGGUGAGGUAAUGGCUCACCAAGGCGACGAUCCGUAACUGGUCUGAGAGGAUGAUCAGUCACACUGGAACUGAGACACGGUCCAGACUCCGUACGGGGAGCAGCAGGUGGGAAUAG
This 337-nucleotide ribosomal RNA is filed under the name uncultured soil bacterium. RNAcentral describes it as "bacterial SSU rRNA". It matches the Rfam family "Bacterial small subunit ribosomal RNA", at positions 27 to 364 of the family's 1533-position model. The record is from RNAcentral.